CGUCAAUGUGCCUGGAGAGUCGACUCUGCGACGUGAUUUCCUGAGGCUGCAGCAAGAGAACAAGGAACGGUCUGAGGCUCUGCGGAGACAGCAGCUUCUGCAGGAGCAGCAGCUCCGGGAGCAGGAGGAGUAUAAGAGGCAGCUGCUGGCUGAGAGGCAGAAGCGGAUUGAACAGCAGAAAGAACAGAGGAGGCGGCUGGAAGAGCAACAAAGGAGAGAGCGUGAAGCCAGGAGGCAGCAGGAACGUGAGCAGCGGCGGCGAGAACAGGAGGAGAAGAGGCGUCUGGAGGAACUGGAAAGGCGGCGUAAGGAAGAGGAAGAGAGGAGACGGGCAGAAGACGAGAAGAGGCGAGUGGAGCGGGAGCAGGAGUACAUCAGGCGGCAGCUAGAGGAAGAGCAGCGGCACCUGGAGAUCCUGCAGCAGCAGCUGCUCCAGGAGCAGGCUAUGUUACUGGAGUGUCGAUGGCGGGAGAUGGAGGAGCACCGGCAGGCAGAGAGGCUCCAGAGGCAGUUGCAACAAGAACAAGCAUAUCUCCUGUCUCUACAGCACGACCACA
RNAcentral lists this long non-coding RNA (557 nucleotides) under Rattus norvegicus (Norway rat). RNAcentral's name for it is "long non-coding RNA NONRATT029337". Lineage: Eukaryota; Metazoa; Chordata; Mammalia; Rodentia; Muridae. The record is from RNAcentral.